This 888-nucleotide long non-coding RNA is filed under the name Callithrix jacchus (white-tufted-ear marmoset). Its description in RNAcentral is "lncRNA (ENSCJAG00000083577.1)". Lineage: Eukaryota; Metazoa; Chordata; Mammalia; Primates; Cebidae. The record is from RNAcentral.
ACUUCAUAAAGGCACUAUGUCUUCUGGAAUUGAGCUAAUAACGGUUUCUAGGAAAACUCACAAAAGUAGAGUUUGUGGGUCAAAGAAAGUUCCCUGCUGCCACAUUUGAUCUUUAAGUUAAAAAUGUCAUCUCCCUCCUCCAGGUCUCAUUCUAGGUUCCCCUUCUCUUGACUAACACUCCUCGCCUUCUGGCCUCUGGCAUGAGGGCUUCAAUGUGUUCAAGUGGCUACCACAGCUUUAAGUUUAAUGGAUAUCUUACUAUGCCUCCUGAUGGAAGAGUUGCUUGAUGACAACCAAGACCUUGAGCUCUACAAAGCCUAAAGUUACUGGGACUGGAUCCCCAGACACUUGAAAUGGAUCACUGAGAUCACUGAGAGUGAUGCUGAACAAAACACUUCCACUCUUACCACUUGGUUUCUAAAGCUAUGUAUUCUUCCUCUUGGGGAAAUAUCAUGAUACAAUGACUGCUUCAAAGAUGUUAGCUUCAAGUGUUGUAAUAUGAAAAGGUAUUAAAGAGGAAGACAUACUGCAGUGGGAUAAACAGCAAAAAUGAGAACAAUUUUAAUUUGCUGUAUGUGAAGAUGAUCUUAAACUCUUGUCUUCUUUUAACUUUGGUGGUGAAGAAUUCACAUAGCUUCCAUGAGCAUGCCUCUGUUAUUUGGAGCAGAGCAACAUGUAGACUCGCCAUCAUUCUGGGCAAUUGGAUCUUGGUAACAUUGCUGCAUUUCCUGAAUUGGAUGCCAAUAAAUUAUCUUUAAAUGACUUUAAAGUAUCUGAUUAGGUUUAGCUCCCUUAAGCUUUGAAUCUCUAAGAAUACAUCGGACCAUGUUAGCAAGAUUGCAGUAAACCAAGUCUAAUGGAAGAAGGGGUGUUACUUAAGGCAACAUG